Molecule: ribosomal RNA, 468 nt
Filed under: uncultured bacterium
Lineage: Bacteria
Description: SSU rRNA
Rfam family: Bacterial small subunit ribosomal RNA
Source: RNAcentral
AGGACGAACGCUGGCGGCGUGCUUAACACAUGCAAGUCGAGCGAGGAGCUUGCUCCUAGCGGCGAACGGGUGAGUAACACGUGGGCAACCUGCCUCUAGCUCUGGGAUAAGCCCGGGAAACUGGGUCUAAUACCGGAUACGACCACCGAAGACAUCUUCUGGUGGUGGAAAGAAUUUCGGCUAGAGAUGGGCCCGCGGCCUAUCAGCUUGUUGGUGGGGUAAUGGCCUACCAAGGCGACGACGGGUAGCCGGCCUGAGAGGGCGACCGGCCACACUGGGACUGAGACACGGCCCAGACUCCUACGGGAGGCAGCAGUGGGGAAUAUUGCGCAAUGGGCGAAAGCCUGACGCAGCGACGCCGCGUGAGGGACGAAGGCCUUCGGGUUGUAAACCGUCUUUCAGCAGGACGAAGCGAAAGUGACGGUACCUGCAGAAGAAGCGACCGGCCAACUACGUACCAGCAGCCGC